GCCACCCAGCACCUUCAGAGCUGCGUUGGUGCAGGUCUGGUAGGAUCGGCUCUCACUGCUGGUCUCGCUGCCUGGUGUCUCUGCGUGAGACUCUGAACCAUCCUCUCCUGAUGACAGACGAGAGGAGAAAAGAAAGAAUGGACAAAGCUGGGUUCCUCUGGGGGAAGUUGGACUUGAUCUCACCUGCAGAAUCUGGGAAGCAACCGCUGGAGAUUUAUGGCCUCUGGAGGCAGAUUAAUGGUCCCAUUGAACUCUCAGCCUAAAGAUACCCUCCCCACAGCUCAUUAAGCACGAUGUAAUACUGGGGGGAGAUAUCGGCCGGGAGGGUCAAUUCUCAGAGUCAAACUCAUUGAACUCUGAUGCAGGAGAAAGUACGCUGACACUGGGAAUUCAAGGUCGAGAUGGAUAUUGACUGGGAUAUCUAUUAAGGGAGUUGGAAAUUCUCCACAGAGCCCUCUGUACCAGCCGUUGUCAUUUGUCCUUUAAUGAAGAAUGGUGUGGGAGGCUGCCAUUGUUUAAGCAGUUGUCUCCUGUGGCUGGUACCCAUGACGAGGUGGUUUAGGCUUGUGGCAGAGCACACAGCCCCGUGGGUCGGAACCAGUAUUAUUUUAUAUCACCUUCUCCCAGCAGCUCCAGCCAUUGCGCUUGUCAUGUGGAAAAGACAGAUGUGCAUUUUCUUCUCUGGUACCCAGUUUAUAUAUUAUACACAUCCUGGUUCCACAGUCUGUUACCAGAGUGCCACCCUCUGGUCAGCCUGAUAAGCACAGAUCCAGGACGGUUCCCACAGGCACUGACUACAGAGAUGCUGCAGACAACAGACAAGAAGGCAAGUUGUAGAGUACAAGUACAGAAGUGAUUUGGAUGCAGAAAAAGCAAACUAAGUUGUGUCCUUUUUUGGUCUGAUGUGUUUUUCACUUAUUUUGGACAGAAUAUGAUCUUAAGGAUGUAGAUACUCUCAACUAGCAGCUGCAUAUUACAGAAGGACCAUCAAAGGAUAACUGCCAGUUUGUCAGAUGUUCUUCUUUACUGCAUUCAUUUGCACUAAUCAUAGAUGUAUGAAUUAUUAAAUUCCAUGUUUCACUUAUGUAAGUGACAUCAAUGCAAUAUUCACAGACAAGGAUGUGUUUUAUUGGCUGAGCAUUUUAGUCAUGUCUAACUUUACAUUUUCUCUAUAUGUUUCAUAUAUUUUGAUUCCAGGAAAUCAGAUAACUGCCUCACAAGAGCCAUUUACUCCCUCCAAUUAAAACUGGUUAUUACUGCCUUUCAGGGCUUCAGAAUGUCUUUUAUAAAAAUUUUAUUUGGGUCUGUUCUCAUUUCUAGAUUUUAUAUUAUGACACUCUCAUCACUUGAGGAGUGUGGCAUAAUGUCAGAGAAAUGACAAUGAGCAACAAAUUACCUUGUUUUUCUCUGUUAGUAGGAUUAUUAUUCAUGAAAAUCUUUUGUUCAGAAUUCAAGAGAAAUACUGCUUAAAAAACAUAACUGCCUUAAUGAAAACCACCUUUGUCAGUAUGCACUAUCUUUGUGUGAGUGAAUUUGCUUUGCAAAUACCCAUACUGUUCAAUAUAUGUCAUUUUCUAACUAUGUACUACUGUUAUAUACUAUAUAUUACCUUACACUAAUCUAAAGUGUACAAACACUGGACGUGCUAAUACUACCCUAUCGUUUCAGUUGAUCUCUCUUAAUUUUCAAUGUAAAUAUUUAGUCUAGUUCCCUGCAAGUUUGAGGUUGCACUGAUCUUAGAUGUUAGAACUAGUUGUCUAAUUCACUGUUGUAAUUAACUCUUUGCCACUAGACAGCAUCCAUUGUAAAUAAUAAUUUGGUAUGCUCAUAUUGCACAAUGAACAUUUGCUUCAUUGCCAAAGUCUACAAAAUCAUUCUGACCGGAAUUAAUUUAAUGAACAAGGCUCAAUUGACCGGCUAAGAGAUGUGAAAUGUUACAGCAUGCACAUGGAGCGAGGCCUGUGCAAGAUUACUGAUGACAGGCUAUGAGAGGCAGCUGCCGUACAGUCAAACCUCAGGGAACAAAUGCCCAAUUUAAACUUGUUAAGAAUCCAAAUUGUAGAGGUGUGUCUGGCUCUUUGGGUCAAUGAACUGAGCUACGCUGCAAUCUAGAUGGCAUCUGUUUCUGAGGCCCUGUUUUAUGCAAAGAUGACGAUUCAGGAUCCUGCUGAAAACUCACAGAGUGGGUAAACAGUCACCUCUGCAGUACACUGAGUCUAUCCUCAUGCUUCGAGCAAUGACAUCAGUUGUAUGUUAUCUUGUACAACAAUAAAACAACAGCCAGAUUUCUUGAACUCUGUGCAGCUUUUAUCAGAUGGUUAUGUCGCCUUUAUCAUGUUGCAGUAAUAUUCAAGUCCAAGUGAAGAGGGUGAACAUUCUUUUAAAACAAUUUAAUACAGAAUAGCAGACACACACUGUAAGACAGUGUCUGGCUAAAGACCAUGUCUAUUUAUUUCUCCUUUGGGGGAUUUAGAUUUAAAGCUUUUAUUUUUCAUUUCAUAAACUGGAAUGAGAACUGAUUUAACUGCUAUAAAGACAGAGCACGAAGGACGCAUAAAACAUGGUAUUAAAGAUUGGAUUUGAGGUAAAAUCCUGGAGCUCAGCUAGACCUAAUGUUCCUCGAAAGGACAUCCUCCUUGGGCAACUUGUAUCUCAGAAGAGACUCACUCACAUUCCUUUUUUCUCAAUUAUUUGUAACUAUUUACUAGCUGACAGUUCAAUUAAAUUAAAUUAACUAGGCUAUGAACCCUAUGAACUCUAAGUUCAUCUGCCCUUAUAUUCAGGGGCAGAUGAACUUUAUCUAACAUGCGCAUCCAGAACUCUCAUGACUCAGUCUCUGCUGCUUCUCUCUCCUAAGCCUGUGGUGUCAGUGUUCACUGUGAUUUGACCAGACUUCUUUACGAAUACCAAAAGUUAUCGCACUGGCACCUCAUGAAAAAUAUAAUUUACUGGCUGAAAGAGUCAGGGUGCCCCAACUGCACAGUGUUUUCCCAACAUCCCAACAGCUUUCUGGGAAUCAAGAUUAGGUGUAAUUUCAGAUGUUAUAGCGAUUGCCAGGUCUCCCAGAGCAGAACUGAGUCCAUAAACCCCACUUUUUAUAGGCAGUGAGAUAAAAUCUGUCCAUAAAGCAUGCCACAUAUGGAACAGACUAAUCAUUUUCAAAUGAUCAUUAUUGCUUGUGACAGUCUGAGACAAUCAAACAUAAUAUACAGUGUUUCUAAGUGCAAGUAAUGAAUAUCACAGUUUAAAAAAACUGUUAUGUGUGAUAGACUGAGACUGCAAUUAUCCACAAUAGCACAAUUUCUCAUUGUGUAAUUUAAGUGUGACGCACAAUGGAUUGUAAUUGCAUGUUCACAUCACAGUGACAUCAUUCAGUGUGCUGACCGACCUUAUGUCCCAGCUUCACUGCAUGCACACAUUAUUGUAUAUUGUGCAAUGCAUCUCUGUUUUUCUUGUCAAAUUUUCUUUCUUUGAUUGACACAGGUUGAAACACUGUGUUACUGAUGA
Lates calcarifer (barramundi perch) is the source of this 3507-nucleotide long non-coding RNA. RefSeq lists it as uncharacterized. The record is from RefSeq and is a predicted model, not a curated record. Lineage: Eukaryota; Metazoa; Chordata; Actinopteri; Centropomidae. The transcript has 5 exons.